Molecule: ribosomal RNA, 801 nt
Filed under: fungal sp.
Lineage: Eukaryota; Fungi
Description: eukaryotic LSU rRNA
Rfam family: Eukaryotic large subunit ribosomal RNA (bases 472-801)
Source: RNAcentral
UUACAGAGUUCUCGCCCUCGCGGGUAGAUCUCCCACCCACUGUGAUUGCUACCGUGUUGCUUUGGCGGGCCGCCGGGCCCAGCCCAGCCGCCGGCCCCGGCCGGCGCGUGCCCGCCAGAAGCCCCGCAAACUCUGAAUGUCAGCGUUGUCUGAGUACUAUAUAAUAGUUAAAACUUUCAACAACGGAUCUCUUGGUUCUGGCAUCGAUGAAGAACGCAGCGAAAUGCGAUAAGUAAUGCGAAUUGCAGAAUUCAGUGAGUCAUCGAAUCUUUGAACGCACAUUGCGCCCUGUGGUAUUCCGCAGGGCAUGCCUGUUCGAGCGUCAUUUCAACCCUCAAGCUCUGCUUGGUGUUGGGCCCUGCCCGCUGCGGCCGGCCCUAAAGACAGUGGCGGUGCCGCCUGGCCCUGAGCGUAGUACAUCUCUCGCUCCAGUGCCUGGCGGUGGCCUGCCAGAACCCCAACUCUCGUGGUUGACCUCGGAUCAGGUAGGGAUACCCGCUGAACUUAAGCAUAUCAAUAAGCGGAGGAAAAGAAACCAACAGGGAUUGCCUCAGUAACGGCGAGUGAAGCGGCAACAGCUCAAAUUUGAAAUCUGGCCCCCUCGGGGUCCGAGUUGUAAUUUGGAGAAGAUGCUUCGGGUGCGGCCCCGGUCUAAGUUCCUUGGAACAGGACGUCACAGAGGGUGAGAAUCCCGUACGUGCCCGGUGGUCGCUCCCGUGUGAAGCUCUUUCGACGAGUCGAGUUGUUUGGGAUGCAGCUCUAAAUGGGUGGUAUAUUUCAUCUAAAGCUAAAUAUUGGCCA